AGAGUUUGAUCAUGGCUCAGGAUGAACGCUGGCGGCAUGCCUAAUACAUGCAAGUCGAACGAAGCGGCCUAAUGAGAGACUAGCUUGCUAGGAAGGAUUUAGAUCACCGCUUAGUGGCGAACGGGUGAGUAACACGUGGGUAACCUGCCCAUCAGAGGGGGAUAACACUUGGAAACAGGUGCUAAUACCGCAUAACACUAAAAACCGCAUGGUUUUUAGUUGAAAGGCGCUCUUGGUGUCGCUGAUGGAUGGACCCGCGGUGCAUUAGCUAGUCGGUGGGGUAACGGCCUACCGAGGCAAUGAUGCAUAGCCGACCUGAGAGGGUGAUCGGCCACAUUGGGACUGAGACACGGCCCAAACUCCUACGGGAGGCAGCAGUAGGGAAUCUUCGGCAAUGGACGAAAGUCUGACCGAGCAACGCCGCGUGAGUGAUGAAGGUUUUCGGAUCGUAAAACUCUGUUGUUAGAGAAGAACAAGAGAAGUAGUAACUGGCUUCUCCUUGACGGUAUCUAACCAGAAAGCCACGGCUAACUACGUGCCAGCAGCCGCGGUAAUACGUAGGUGGCAAGCGUUGUCCGGAUUUAUUGGGCGUAAAGCGAGCGCAGGCGGUCUCUUAAGUCUGAUGUGAAAGCCCACGGCUUAACCGUGGAGGGUCAUUGGAAACUGGGAGACUUGAGUGCAGAAGAGGAAAGUGGAACUCCAUGUGUAGCGGUGGAAUGCGUAGAUAUAUGGAAGAACACCAGUGGCGAAGGCGGCUUUCUGGUCUGUAACUGACGCUGAGGCUCGAAAGCGUGGGGAGCAAACAGGAUUAGAUACCCUGGUAGU
Molecule: ribosomal RNA, 825 nt
Filed under: uncultured bacterium
Lineage: Bacteria
Description: bacterial SSU rRNA
Rfam family: Bacterial small subunit ribosomal RNA
Source: RNAcentral